CUACCCCAUUUUACUCGCAAUAACGCUGCAUUUUGGUGCCGGGG
RNAcentral lists this small RNA (44 nucleotides) under Plasmodium falciparum 3D7. Its description in RNAcentral is "Pfa-starRR6415". Lineage: Eukaryota; Apicomplexa; Aconoidasida; Haemosporida; Plasmodiidae. The record is from RNAcentral.